CACUUAUAUUCAGUGAACUGAUACACCGAAAUUGGAAUGAUUCAGAGACAAUUAACAUGGCCUUGCAAAAGUAUGACAUGCAAAUUUCUUUAGCAUUUCAUAUUGAA
RNAcentral lists this small nuclear RNA (107 nucleotides) under Castor canadensis (American beaver). The record is from RNAcentral. Lineage: Eukaryota; Metazoa; Chordata; Mammalia; Rodentia; Castoridae.